UUAAAUCUAUGGAUGUGAUAAAUUCUAGCCCAGAGUGGGCAAUUUGUCCAAUGUUUGCAUUGUUAGAUGAUGUGUUAACGAUAAUUUGGUUAAAUAGUUCUAGAGAUGAAAUGAAGAAUAUAUUAGGAAUUUUCUCAAAGCAUUCGUGAUUUUCAGAGUGCGUAAUUAGUUCCAUGAUAUAUUUAACUAGACGGGAUGACCAAAUUAGUGAAUAUUUAUCAAAUAGAUUAAUUAUAGUUUUUUUAUUAGGGCGAAUAGUUGAUUGAGUAUUACUUUGUGUAUUUGCCAUGUUUUGGCAUGCAGAUGUCAGAGAAUUUAGUAUGAGGAUCCUGAAAUCCAUUGGAAUCCCGUUGUUCAUAUUGCAUGAAUAGUUAAUCAUUUCCACUGAAACUUUAUCUGUCUUAUACUGAAUUAGUUUUGAAAAAAUUAUGAGUACAAGUAUCUUUUGAUCUUUUUCUUUUAAUGAAAUUAACUUAUCAAUAAGAGGAAGAAUUAGGUGGUCAUAAUUAGAAUCAUCCUUUUCGAUAUUUUCAG
Molecule: small RNA, 534 nt
Filed under: Cryptosporidium parvum
Lineage: Eukaryota; Apicomplexa; Conoidasida; Eucoccidiorida; Cryptosporidiidae
Description: antisense_RNA
Source: RNAcentral